UACGGGGAAUCAGGGUUCGAUUCCGGAGAGGGAGCCUGAGAAAUAGCUACCACAUCCAAGGAAGGCAGCAGGCGCGCAAAUUACCCACUCCCGAAACGGGGAGGUAGUGACGAUAAAUAACGAUGCGGGACUCAAUCGAGGCCCCGUAAUUGGAAUGAGUACACUUUAAAUCCUUUAACGAGGAUCAAUUGGAGGGCAAGCCUGGUGCCAGCAGCCGCGGUAAUUCCAGCUCCAAUAGCGUAUAUUAAAGUUGUUGCAGUUAAAAAGCUCGUAGUUGGAUCUCAGGAUUUGGAUGGAUGGUUCGCUUUCGGGCGCUACUAUCUGUCUGACCUACUCUAGUCGUGGAUGCCUUGGGUGCUCUUAAUUGAGUGCUUUUGGUGCCCGACGCAAUUACUUUGAAAAAAUUAGAGUGCUCAAAGCAGGCGUAUUGCCUGAAUAGUGUUGCAUGGAAUAAUGAAAUAGGAGUUUACUUCUAUUUUGUUGGUUUUCGGAGGUGAACUAAUGAUUAACAGGGACAGACGGGGGCAUUUGUAUGGAGGGGUUAGAGGUGAAAUUCUUGGAUCCUCUCCAGACAAACUACUGCGAAAGCAUUUGCCAGGAAUGUUUUCACUAAUCAAGAACGAAAGUCAGAGGUUCGAAGACGAUCAGAUACCGUCCUAGUUCUGACCAUAAAUGAUGCCAUCUAACAAUCCACGAAGUUUGCUUGUACGAACUCGAGGGCGGUCCCCGGGAAACCAAAGAUUUUGGGUUCCGGGGGAAGUAUGGUUGCAAAGCUGAAACUUAAAGGAAUUGACGGAAGGGCACCACCAGGAGUGGAGCCUGCGGCUUAAUUUGACCCAACACGGGAAACCUCACCCGGCCCGGACACUUUUAGGAUUGACAGAUUGAAGGCUCUUUCUUGAUCAAGUGGUUGGUGGUGCAUGGCCGUUCUUAGUUGGUGGAGCGAUUUGUCUGGUUAAUUCCGAUAACGAACGAGACUCUACUCUGCUAAAUAGAACGUUGAUAUAUAAAAGUCAGUGCUGACUUCUUAGAGAGACUAACGGCGUUUAGCCGUGUGAGAAAGAGCAAUAACAGGUCUGUGAUGCCCUUAGAUGUCCGGGGCCGCACGCGCGCUACACUGACUGCAGCAACUAGUAUGCUCCUGGUUUGAAAAAACUGGGUAACCUGGUUGAAUUGCAGGCGUGACAGGGAUCAGAGUUUGCAAUUAUCCUCUGUGAACGAGGAAUUCCCAGUAAGCGCAAGUCAUUAGCUUGUGCUGAUUACGUCCCUGCCCUUUGUACACACCGCCCGUCGCUACUACCGAUUGAAUGGUUUAGUGAGGUCUUCGGAUUGGUGCUGAUGGAGUGGUUCUCUGCUCUGUUAGUGCCGAGAAGAUGAUCAAACUUGAUCAUUUAGAGGAAGUAAAAGUCGUAACAAGGUU
This 1420-nucleotide ribosomal RNA is filed under the name metagenome. Its description in RNAcentral is "SSU rRNA". It matches the Rfam family "Eukaryotic small subunit ribosomal RNA", at positions 360 to 1801 of the family's 1831-position model. The record is from RNAcentral.